This 282-nucleotide small RNA is filed under the name Vigna angularis var. angularis. RNAcentral describes it as "Non-protein coding transcript". Lineage: Eukaryota; Viridiplantae; Streptophyta; Magnoliopsida; Fabales; Fabaceae. The record is from RNAcentral.
UAAUGGUUGAGUUGGUUACUGUAGUUUCAGGCCUAGGCAGAGCAAAAGUUGGAAAUGCACCCAAUCACUCUCCUUCAUUGUACACACACUAACUCAUCAGUGUUCCUAAUUUUGUCAGGCAUUUGCUUCCAGUACACGGAAAUAUUUAGUACAUGGAGGCUAUGCCCUACCUUGUUACUGUCAACUUGGUCAAACUGACGGGGUAUUCGUGCUUACUUUCAGUGAUGUACUUCAACAUGCUGGUAAUAUUUUGCCAGAAAGAAUUUUUUAUUGUUAUAUGAA